RNAcentral lists this unclassified non-coding RNA (468 nucleotides) under Hevea brasiliensis (rubber tree). Lineage: Eukaryota; Viridiplantae; Streptophyta; Magnoliopsida; Malpighiales; Euphorbiaceae. The record is from RNAcentral.
UGAAACUUGCAGUGUGUAUAUUUGUAAUCCAAGCCCUAAUAUCUAAUAUUCCGCUGACCUGUAAAAUGGGUCAGUUUGCUCUUUACAAAUUUCUGCUUACAAUCUUCCUCCUCUUCUCAAUUUCCAAAUCACUGCCCACCGGGAAUGAACGUAGCACCUACAUCAUCCACAUGGACAAAUCAGCAAUGCCAGCUCCCUUCUCUACACACCAUGAUUGGUACACGUCAACUCUAUCAUCCCUGUCAUCACCAGAUGGCAUUUCCCCUGUCCAUCUCUACUCCUACAAGCAUGUGAUGGAUGGUUUCAGUGCUGUACUCUCACAAACCCACCUUAAUCAACUGGAAAAAUUACCUGGUCAUGUUUCUACCUUCCCGGAAUCAUAUGGCCAUCUCCAUACUACCCACACCCCAAAAUUUCUAGGCCUGAACAAACACUCUGGAUUGUGGCCAGAAGGCAAGUUUGGCGAUG